Esox lucius (northern pike) is the source of this 3465-nucleotide long non-coding RNA. The record is from Ensembl. Lineage: Eukaryota; Metazoa; Chordata; Actinopteri; Esociformes; Esocidae.
UAGCUGAUUGGGGGCUAGAUGAGAGUCUAGUCUGUAUUACAACAGUCAAUGCCGCGAACAUGGUGAACGCUGCAGCCCUGAACAAGUGGACCAGAUUGCAUAUGAAUAGUGAGCAAUACAUCCAAACUAUAUGAAUGCUUUAAUAAACAAGAAACUGAAACACAUAAUUAAAAAAAACUGUUACCUGGUUGAAUAUAUCACUGAAGUCUGAGAAGUGGUUGUUGUGGCAGACACUGUGGGUGUAGUGGCUGUGACUGUUGCUGGAACAGCUGUGGUUGCUGUGGGAGAACCUUUAGUUGUGGCAGCUUUUGUGUUGCUGGGAGUACCUGUAAUUGUUGAUACAGCAGCUUUUGAUGUGGUGGGACCAGAUGUGUUAGUCAUGUGAGCAGGUGAAGUUGUUGUUUUUGUAUAAACAAGACCUGUUGUGGAAACAGCUGGAUUUGUGGGGUGUGCUGCAGUUGUGGUGACAGCAGCUUUUUCUGUGGUGGGACCAGAUGUGUUAGUCAUGUGAGCAGGUGAAGUUGUUGUUUGUGUAAAAACAAGACCUGUUGUGGAAACAGCUGGAUUUGUGGGAUGUGCUGCAGUUGUUGUGACAGCAGCUUUUGCUGUGGUGGGACCAGAUGUGUUAGUCAUGUGAGCAGGUGAAAUUGUUGUUUUUGUUAAAACAAGACCUGUUGUGGAAACAGCUGGAUUUGUGGGAUGUGCUUCAGUUGUUGUGACAGCAGCUUUUGCUGUGGUGGGACCAGAUGUGUUAGUCAUGUGAGCAGGUGAAAUUGUUGUUUUUGUUAAAACAAGACCUGUUGUGGAAACAGCUGGAUUUGUGGGAUGUGCUGCAGUUGUUGUGACAGCAGCUUUUGCUGUGGUGGGACCAGAUGUGUUAGUCAUGUGAGCAGGUGAAGUUGUUGUUUUUGUUAAAACAAGACCUGUUGUGGAAACAGCUGGAUUUGUGGGGUGUGCUGCAGUUGUUGUGACAGCAGCUUUUGAUGGAGUAACAAAGGUAGACAUGUCUGAAGGUGAGGAUGAUGCAGCAGCAACUGUUUUUGUGGGAAUAACAACAUUUGUUGUGACAUCAGGCAAUGUUUUUGAUGCAACGUAUGUUGCUGUAGGAGUUGCUGAAAUUCUUCUGACUGUAGCUGUUGUUGUGGUGGGACCAGAAGUGGAGGUCAUGUCAGCAGGCGAGGUUGUUAUUAUUGUGAAAUCUGUUGUAACAAACGCUGAUGUUGUUGUAGCAGUUCUGGUCGUUGUGUGAGCAUAUAUGGUUGCUGUCGAAGAACCUGUUGUUGUGGUAGCUUUUGUGUUAGUGGGAGUUUCUGAAACUGCUGUGACAUCAAGUGAUGUAGUUGUUGGAACAGCUGGUGUUGUGGGGGUUUCUAAAACUGUUGUGACAGCAGCUCUUGAUGUUGUGGGACCAUAUAUGUUUUGUAUGUGAGCGGUUGAGUUUGUGGUGGCAGCAAAUGUGGUUGGUGUAUCAGAUUCUUUUGUUGUUGUUGGAGCUGUGGUGCUCGUUAUAGGAUGAGAUGUGGUUGCUGUUGGAGAGCCAGUUUUUGAGGUAGCUCCUGUGUUGAAGGGAGAAGUUGACAUUGAUGUGAGAUAAGGUGAUGUUGUUGUUGAAACCAAUGUUGUUAUGGGAGUGGUUUUAAUUGUUGUGACAGCAGCUGAUGUUAUUGUUGCGACAACUGGUGUUGUGGAGGUUUUUGAAUUUUUUGUGACAGCGGCUGUUGAUGCCGAGGAUCCAGAUGUGUUAUGAAUGUAAGAAGGUGAGCUUGUUGUGGCAGUAACAGUUGUUAUUCUUGCUGUUGUUGUUUUUGUUCCAGACUCUUUUGUUGUUGAUGUUGGAGCAGUUGUAGUUGUUGUGGAUACAGAUGUGAUUGCUGUGGAAGAACCUGUUUUUGUGAUAGCUCCUGUGUUGAUGGGGGUAGUUGACAUUGAUGUGAGAUCAGGUGAUGUUGUUUUUGGAACAGUUGGUGUUGUGGGGGUUGAUGAAAUUGUUGUGACAGCUGCUGUUGGUGUUGUGGGACCAGAUGUGGUAGAUAUGUUAGCAGGAGAGGUUGUUGUGGCAGCAACUGUUGUUGUUAGUCCAGACUCUGUUGUUGUGGGAGUAGCAGAAAUUGUUGUGACAUCAAGUGAUGUUGUUGUUCCAGCAGAUGUUGUUGUGUGAUUUGCUGAAAUUGUUGUGACAGCAGCUGAUGUGGUUAUGGGACCAGAUGUGGUAGUCAUAUCAGCAGGUGUGGUUGCUGUUUCUGUAAAACCUGUUGUUCCAAACGCUGUUGUUGUUGGUAGAGCUGUUGUGGACAUUGAGGGAACAGAUGUGGUUUCUGUUGGAGAACCUGUUGUUGUGGUAGCCCCUGUGUUGAUGGGUGUAGUUGACAUUGAUGUGAGAUCAGGUGAUGUUGUUGUUUGAACAGCUGGUGUUGUGGGGGUUAAUGAAAUUGUUGUGACAGCCUUCUGUUGGUGUUGUGGGACCAGAUGUGGUAGAUAUUUCAGCAGGAGUGGUUGUGGUGGCAGCAACUGUUGUUGUUGCUCCAGACUCUGUUGUUGUGGGAGUAGCUGAAAUUGUUGUGACAUCAAGUGAUGUUGUUGUUGCAACAGAUGUUGUUGUGGGAUUUACUGAAAUUGUUGUGACAGCAGCUGAUGCUGUUAUGGGACCAGAUGUGGUAGUCAUAUCAGCAGGUGUGGUUGCUGUUUCUGUAAAAACUGUUGUUCCAAAAGCUGUUUUUGUUGGUAGAGCUGUUGUGGUCAUUGAGGGAACAGAUGUGGUUUCUGCUGGUGAACCUGUUGUUGUGGUAGCCCCUGUGUUGAUGGGUGUAGUUGACAUUGAUGUGAGAUCAGGUGAUGUUGUUGUUUGAACAGCUGGUGUUGUGGGGGUUAAUGAAAUUGUUGUGACAGCUUCUGUUGGUGUUGUGGGACCAGAUGUGGUAGAUAUUUUAGCAGGAGUGGUUGUGGUGGCAGCAACUGUUGUUGUUGCUCCAGACUCUGUUGUUGUGGGAGUAGCAGAAAUUGUUGUGACAUCAAGUGAUGUUGUUGUUGCAACAGAUGUUGUUGUGGGAUUUUCUGAAAUUGUUGUGACAGCAGCUGAUGUGGUUAUGGGACCAGAUGUGGUAGUCAUAUCAGCAGGUGUGGUUGCUGUUUCUGUAAAAACUGUUGUUCCAAACGCUGUUGUUGUUGGUAGAGCUGUUGUGGUCAUUGAGGGAACAGAUGUGGUUUCUGUUGGAGAACCUGUUGUUGUGGUAGCCCCUGUGUUGAUGGGUGUAGUUGACAUUGAUGUGAGAUCAGGUGAUGUUGUUGUUUGAACAGCUGGUGUUGUGGGGGUUAAUGAAAUUGUUGUGACAGCUUCUGUUGGUGUUGUGGGACCAGAUGUGGUAGAUAUUUCAGCAGGAGUGGUUGUGGUGGCAGCAACUGUUGUUGUUGCUCCAGACUCUGUUGUUGUGGGAGUAGAAGAAAUUGUUGUGACAUCAAGUGAUGUUG